This is a long non-coding RNA of Dermochelys coriacea (leatherback sea turtle), 1303 nucleotides long. RefSeq lists it as uncharacterized. The record is from RefSeq and is a predicted model, not a curated record. Lineage: Eukaryota; Metazoa; Chordata; Testudines; Dermochelyidae. The transcript has 2 exons.
AAAAUAGUUUGUCAAUAUAAUUCACAAAUAUAUGCACUUUCUCAUUUAUAUUCCCAGACAGAUUUGUUAAACUGGAGUUAAGCUUGAGAGCACAUAGGAGAAAUAUGUUUUUUUAAAAAAAUCCUGCAAGAGUUUUGUAAUUGUCAAUAAAAAUCACCAUUAUAAACCCAGGAAAUUCAGUCAGAUUGGAACUUGAAUUUACCUUAAUUUUUAAAAAAUAGAUAAUUAAAAAAAUCCAGUUUCUGAUGGAGCACCUUUCAAAUGGUAUGUCCUGAAUUUUUAAAUUAUUUUAAGAGGUUUCUGCUCCCUGUUGAUGUUUACAAGACACUUGUUUAUAUACAGGACACUGCAAAACUGCUUAUACAUAAAUUGCUGUCAAAUUCACAAAAUAAAUUAAAGAUUUUUUUUUUUCACUAUUGAUUUCAGUGAGAGUAAUCUUAGGUGUUACUUAACUAUAGUAGAUGCAAAAUUUUCAGGCAGAAAUGUGAUUCUCAAGUUGCUGGUGGUUCCUUGGAAAGAAACCCAAAUAUUUGAAAGUAUGAAAAUCCACAGUUUACGCAUUCAGUUCUAACUCUGCCCCUAUAGUUAGGCAGUGGAGUGGGGGGGGGGCCCUUUGGAGAUUUUAUUCAUGUCAAAACUUCAUGUCUUUAAGGACCACAGAAAGUAAAAUGCUUCACUCUUAAUCACAGUUAUUGCUCCAGCUCUAGCCUUUUUUAUGGGCAUACAUAGUCCACAGUAAAAGAUGUACUUUACUAAUUCCUGAUUAGACAGAUCGAAUACUUAAAGCAUCAUCCACUUUUCAUUACUAUUCCACAUGCCACCAAUCACAGAAGUAUCAUUAGGCACAGAACUAAGGAUCUAACCCUCCUAAACAUAGAUGCAUAAAAUUAUGGCACUUACAUGAAAGAACAAAAGUUAAUGUGGUUGUUAGCAUCGUAAAUGAAUAAUCAUCAGAGACAUUUAUAUACCAAUUAGUUAUAAAACCAAUGGUGUAUGGUUCAUAUUCUUAUGGAGUCUCAUUGACUGCCGGUGAGGCUCCACUUGGGUGCAGAUGUUCAUGCUAAUAGAUCCCAAUGCAGGAUUGGGCCUUAAAAAGCUUGGUGUUUUAGGAUGAAAUCCUGGCCCAAUGAUGUCAAUUGGAGUUUUCCCAUUGACUCUAAUGAGGACCGUAUUUCGCCCUCAAUCUAAAGGGCUUCUGAAGGGUUUUGUGAAAAAAAAGAUUAGAGGAUGGCUGGUUUUCAGUCUGUAUCAGAACAGUUUAUCCAAAUUUAAGAUGUCUCUGUGGUAUUUUUAGUAAAGAAAA